CGAACGCUGGCGGCGUGCUUAACACAUGCAAGUCGAACGAUGAAGCGGGUGCUUGCGCUCGUGGAUUAGUGGCGAACGGGCGAGUAACACGUGAGUAACCUGUCCUUUUCUUUGGGAUAACGGCUGGAAACGGCUGCUAAUACUGGAUAUUCAGGCUGCAUCGCAUGGUGUGGUUUGGAAAGGUUUUUUCUGGGAUUGGGUGGGCUCGCGGCCUAUCAGCUUGUUGGUGGGGUGAUGGCUUACCAAGGCUUUGACGGGUAGCCGGCCUGAGAGGGUGGUCGGUCGCACUGGGACUGAGAUACGGCCCAGACUCCUACGGGAGGCAGCAGUGGGGAAUAUUGCACAAUGGACGAAAGUUUGAUGCAGCGACGCCGCGUGGAGGGUGUAGGCCUUCGGGUUGUGAACUCCUUUUUCUCGCGAAAAAGGCACAGUUUUGGCUGUGUUGAUGGUAGUGGGGGAAGAAGCGCCGGCUAACUACGUG
RNAcentral lists this ribosomal RNA (481 nucleotides) under uncultured bacterium. RNAcentral describes it as "partial 16S ribosomal RNA". It matches the Rfam family "Bacterial small subunit ribosomal RNA", at positions 30 to 507 of the family's 1533-position model. The record is from RNAcentral.